UAAUACAUCGGAACGUGUCUUCUAGUGGGGGAUAACUGCCCGAAAGGGCAGCUAAUACCGCAUGAGACCUGAGAGUGAAAGCGGGGGAUCGCAAGACCUCGCGCUGGAAGAGCGGCCGAUGUCCGAUUAGCUAGUUGGUGAGGUAAAGGCUCACCAAGGCGACGAUCGGUAGCUGGUCUGAGAGGACGACCAGCCACACUGGGACUGAGACACGGCCCAG
This 220-nucleotide ribosomal RNA is filed under the name uncultured bacterium. RNAcentral describes it as "partial 16S ribosomal RNA". It matches the Rfam family "Bacterial small subunit ribosomal RNA", at positions 111 to 334 of the family's 1533-position model. The record is from RNAcentral.